Molecule: ribosomal RNA, 383 nt
Filed under: uncultured bacterium
Lineage: Bacteria
Description: bacterial SSU rRNA
Rfam family: Bacterial small subunit ribosomal RNA
Source: RNAcentral
AAUGAACGCUGGCGGCGCGCCUAAUACAUGCAAGUCGAGCGAGAAGACGUAGCAAUACGUUUGUAAAGCGGCGAACGGGUGAGGAAUACAUGGGUAACCUACCCUCGAGUGGGGAAUAACUAGCCGAAAGGUUAGCUAAUACCGCGUACGCUUCUUGGACUUCGGUUCAGGGAGGAAAGCGAUACCGUGGGUAUCGCGCUCUUGGAUGGGCUCAUGUCCUAUCAGCUUGUGGUGAGGUAACGGCUCACCAAGGCUUCGACGGGUAGCUGGUCUGAGAGGACGAUCAGCCACACUGGCACUGCGACACGGGCCAGACUCCUACGGGGAGGCAGCAGUAAGGAAUAUUGCGCAAUGGGCGAAAGCCUGACGCAGCGACGCCGCGG